Molecule: ribosomal RNA, 800 nt
Filed under: Staphylococcus succinus
Lineage: Bacteria; Bacillati; Bacillota; Bacilli; Caryophanales; Staphylococcaceae
Description: bacterial SSU rRNA
Rfam family: Bacterial small subunit ribosomal RNA
Source: RNAcentral
AAGUCGAGCGAACGGAUAAGGAGCUUGCUCCUUUGAAGUUAGCGGCGGACGGGUGAGUAACACGUGGGUAACCUACCUAUAAGACUGGAAUAACUUCGGGAAACCGGAGCUAAUGCCGGAUAACAUAUAGAACCGCAUGGUUCUAUAGUGAAAGAUGGUUUUGCUAUCACUUAUAGAUGGACCCGCGCCGUAUUAGCUAGUUGGUAAGGUAAUGGCUUACCAAGGCGACGAUACGUAGCCGACCUGAGAGGGUGAUCGGCCACACUGGAACUGAGACACGGUCCAGACUCCUACGGGAGGCAGCAGUAGGGAAUCUUCCGCAAUGGGCGAAAGCCUGACGGAGCAACGCCGCGUGAGUGAUGAAGGUUUUCGGAUCGUAAAACUCUGUUAUUAGGGAAGAACAAAUGCGUAAGUAACUGUGCGCAUCUUGACGGUACCUAAUCAGAAAGCCACGGCUAACUACGUGCCAGCAGCCGCGGUAAUACGUAGGUGGCAAGCGUUAUCCGGAAUUAUUGGGCGUAAAGCGCGCGUAGGCGGUUUCUUAAGUCUGAUGUGAAAGCCCACGGCUCAACCGUGGAGGGUCAUUGGAAACUGGGAAACUUGAGUGCAGAAGAGGAAAGUGGAAUUCCAUGUGUAGCGGUGAAAUGCGCAGAGAUAUGGAGGAACACCAGUGGCGAAGGCGACUUUCUGGUCUGUAACUGACGCUGAUGUGCGAAAGCGUGGGGAUCAAACAGGAUUAGAUACCCUGGUAGUCCACGCCGUAAACGAUGAGUGCUAAGUGUUAGGGGGUUUCCGCCCCU